RNAcentral lists this ribosomal RNA (623 nucleotides) under Exaiptasia sp. AG-2015. RNAcentral's name for it is "partial 12S ribosomal RNA". It matches the Rfam family "Bacterial small subunit ribosomal RNA", at positions 547 to 1398 of the family's 1533-position model. Lineage: Eukaryota; Metazoa; Cnidaria; Anthozoa; Actiniaria; Aiptasiidae. The record is from RNAcentral.
GUAAAAAGGCGUAGAGGAUGUGUAGGCCAAGAAAUUAUCUAAGAAGGUAAAUGGAAUUUUUCUGGAGCGGUAAAAUGUGAAGAUAGAAAAUAGAACACCUAAGGUUAAAACUAUUUACCACAAAAUAGGCUGAAACAUGAGAGAGUGGGGAGCAAACAGGAUUAGAGACCCUGGUAGUCCACUCUGUAAACUUUGAAGAUUAUGUUUAGCAGGCCCGAAAGGUAAAAUCUUCCGCCUGAGUAGUACGAUCGCAAGAUUAAAAUUCAAAAACUUUGGCUGUUCACUACUUCGAUUAGAGGAGCGUGUAGUUUAAUUCGAUGGUCCGCGUGUUACCUUACCCCAGCUUGAAUCUAUGACCGGUAUUGCAUGGCCGUCGUAAGUCCCUGUGUUAAACUAAAAGGGACCCAAUCCGGGCGUUUGCCUGAAGGAAGUCAGGUCUUAUGAUCCGAAUGUUGGGGGAUUUAUGCGCUACAUUUUCUUAUAUAAUGAGAGACUUGAGAGGUAAGCCUCUAAAGUAAGAGUUCGGAAGGUCGCUGUAAAACGACUGGAAGUUGGAUUUAAUAGUAAUCGGAAAGUAGAGCGUUCCGGUGAAUUGGUACAAGUGUUAGCACAAAUUGCCCGUC